RNAcentral lists this unclassified non-coding RNA (337 nucleotides) under soil metagenome. Its description in RNAcentral is "partial contains 5.8S ribosomal RNA, internal transcribed spacer 2, and large subunit ribosomal RNA". The stretch from base 1 to 121 matches the Rfam family "5.8S ribosomal RNA", at positions 35 to 154 of the family's 154-position model. The record is from RNAcentral.
GAUGAAGAACGCAGCGAAAUGCGAUAAGUAAUGCGAAUUGCAGAAUUUCCGUGAGUCAUCGAAUCUUUGAACGCACAUUGCGCCCCUUGGUAUUCCAUGGGGCAUGCCUGUUCGAGCGUCAUUUGUACCUUCAAGCUUUGCUUGGUGUUGGGUGUUUGUCUCGCCUUUGCGUGUAGACUCGCCUUAAAAUAAUUGGCAGCCGGCGUAUUGAUUUCGGGGCGCAGUACAUCUCGCGCUUUGCACUCAUAACGACAGCGUCCAAAAGUACAUUUUACACUCUUGACCUCGGAUCAGGUAGGGAUACCCGCUGAACUUAAGCAUAUCAAUAAGCGGAGGA